RNAcentral lists this transfer RNA (81 nucleotides) under Elusimicrobia bacterium RIFOXYC2_FULL_34_12. RNAcentral describes it as "tRNA-Leu". It matches the Rfam family "tRNA". Rfam says of the family: Transfer RNA (tRNA) molecules are approximately 80 nucleotides in length. Their secondary structure includes four short double-helical elements and three loops (D, anti-codon, and T loops). Further hydrogen bonds mediate the characteristic L-shaped molecular structure. tRNAs have two regions of fundamental functional importance: the anti-codon, which is responsible for specific mRNA codon recognition, and the 3' end, to which the tRNAs corresponding amino acid is attached (by aminoacyl-tRNA synthetases). tRNAs cope with the degeneracy of the genetic code in two manners: having more than one tRNA (with a specific anti-codon) for a particular amino acid; and 'wobble' base-pairing, i.e. permitting non-standard base-pairing at the 3rd anti-codon position. Lineage: Bacteria; Pseudomonadati; Elusimicrobiota. RNAcentral also lists the same sequence under 2 other names. The record is from RNAcentral.
GCCGCGGUGGCGGAACUGGCAGACGCGCACGGCUUAGGACCGUGUCCUUAUAGGGUGUGGGUUCAACUCCCUCCCGCGGCA